UACGUAGGUGGCAAGCGUUAUCCGGAUUUACUGGGUGUAAAGGGCGUGUAGGCGGGACUGCAAGUCAGAUGUGAAACCCAUGGGCUCAACCCAUGGCCUGCAUUUGAAACUGUAGUACUUGAGUGAUGGAGAGGCAGGCGGAAUUCCGUGUGUAGCGGUGAAAUGCGUAGAUAUACGGAGGAACACCAGUGGCGAAGGCGGCCUGCUGGACAUUAACUGACGCUGAGGCGCGAAAGCGUGGGGAGCAAACAGG
This 253-nucleotide ribosomal RNA is filed under the name uncultured bacterium. RNAcentral's name for it is "partial 16S ribosomal RNA". It matches the Rfam family "Bacterial small subunit ribosomal RNA", at positions 524 to 776 of the family's 1533-position model. The record is from RNAcentral.